AGAUUUUCAUCCUUCUGCCUCUCCACUCUAAGGGAUGGUUUAUGGGGCAGAGAGAGCUGCUGCUCAACAUCAGCCUCAAGUAACCGCUAAAGAAAGGAGGCACCCAAAGGAGAAGCUUCAAGAGUCCAUCUUCCCUCACUGACACUUGAAGCAGGCACAGGGAGAGCAGUGAUGCUGAUGAGCAUGGAUCAACCCCUCAAGCUGAGUUACUAUUUCAUAGUCAGGAAGAGCCACAGUGGCAAUAUUGAGACCCAGCAUGUGAGAGAUGACCGUUCGGAAGUCUGCCAGCUGUGAGAGCAAAGGAAAACAGGUUUCGGGCCAUGACCUUAUUGGCAGUCAAUGUGUCUCUUUCCAGUUUGAUCAACUGCUCUGCACGAGCCAGCACUGCGUCCAACCUCAUGCCAAAUCCAACCUCCUCUGCUAUGCUGUCCAGGCUCAGCUUCUCAGAGAGCUGAUCCAGAAACUUAAGAUACUUUAGAAAGAAAAGAUGGGGAGAAAGGCAUCCAGUGUGGUCAGAACAAAGCUGGCAUUCUGAGCCUCAUACAACUAAUUGCUUUAACAGAAAUAAAGAUUUAUUCACGUCUAAAUGUAA
Candoia aspera is the source of this 592-nucleotide long non-coding RNA. RefSeq lists it as uncharacterized. NCBI's taxonomy places the organism in Eukaryota, Metazoa, Chordata, Lepidosauria, Squamata, Candoiidae. The record is from RefSeq and is a predicted model, not a curated record. The transcript is spliced from 3 exons.